AAAUGCCUAAUAAAACUAAAAACUAUAAAACCAGAAAAUGUCAGCAGUAACACACAUAUAUAUAUAUAUAUAUAUUUAAUUAAUGCCCAGCACUUUAUCAUUUAGUAUGCCAACAAAUAUUUACAGUAGAGAAGAUAUAGCAGAAAAAUCACAUUUAAAUUAGCCAAACUACUUUUAAGGUUCAACCAAUAUUAAAAUUAAAUCCAAAAUCCCUAUUGAACUGUCCUUAUGAAUCUGAUAAACUGCAGAAAUAGUUAUAGUAUUUUACAUUGUUAUUUAAAGCCGUAGUUUAUGAUAAAACUUUCUGAUUUUGCAUAUAGACGUCAUGAAUGAUGACUGGUCAAACAAACUUGUUUUGCUUGUGUUAUUAUGGAAUACAAACAGUACAGCAGUCUGGGAGGACAGACGGGUGGAAAAGUCUGUUUUUUGCUGUGCUGAAAGUGUAUUUAUUUUUCUAUUUUGCAUGUUAAGGGGACACUAUUGAUUGUAAUUGCCAUGAAAUUGGGUGUGGAGGCAGAACCCCAUGAAAAUGCUGAAACCAGCAUGAUCUGUCACUUCAUUUCCACAUAAAGUUAUUUUUAGCCGUGGACAAAAAAAAUAAUAAUAUAAAAAAUAUUACGAUACAAUUUGUUUAGGUAUUAGUUUAUUCAGUUAGCUAAAUGCAGUUACAGUUACAGUACCUGUGCAGCUCUACUUCCUGGUCUAAAGAGAUGGUUGAGGGCGGAGCGGUCUUUUAUGUUAAUGCUCCAUUGGCAGGCGGUGACAAAGAGGGGCGACUCAGAAUGCUAUUUCAUGAAUUGUUGGUGUAUUGACUCAUUAAAACUGUUCAGUUUCAGUAGGGUUAUCAUAUCUUCUUAAGCCAAUUAUCUGUUUGGGAUGUUUUGGUGUAUUGUGUUCCCUCCAGCUCGUUUCAAGGAUUUGAUUUGCCAACAUAAAAACCUCUUGAUGCAUUUUGUUUGGAGGUUAGUUCUGUUUACUUUGUUCUGUAUUUGGUUAAUUAAUUAUUCUGUUACUGAGAUCUAUGUUGUUUUUUAAAGAUGUAUUUUUUUGUAAUUUGUAGGAUUAAAUCGUUUUUUUUUUUUUGGGUAGUAAAUAAAACCCCAUUUUCUUUUACAGUUUUUCAAAACCCUGACUCAUUUGGGAUUGCUCAUUCCAUCUCAUCAGGGGUUUGGAUUUCCAGUGUUUUAACACCCCAAAGUCAAGAUCUGGCAAAUCAUCUGAACAAAGGAAGUUGGAGGGUCCAGAUGACCCAUCCUUUAUAUUGAUGUUUGAUCCCACCCAUGAUAAAGGUGAACAAAGAUGGACAGGAUUGUAUGUCUGCCACUGAAACCAGUGAAGAUAAAAAAAUAAAAAUAAAAUUAAAAAAAAA
Molecule: long non-coding RNA, 1369 nt
Organism: Oryzias melastigma (Indian medaka)
Lineage: Eukaryota; Metazoa; Chordata; Actinopteri; Beloniformes; Adrianichthyidae
Exons: 2
Source: RefSeq, a predicted model, not a curated record